RNAcentral lists this ribosomal RNA (450 nucleotides) under uncultured Glomus. RNAcentral describes it as "SSU rRNA". It matches the Rfam family "Eukaryotic small subunit ribosomal RNA", at positions 569 to 1025 of the family's 1831-position model. Lineage: Eukaryota; Fungi; Glomeromycota; Glomeromycetes; Glomerales; Glomeraceae. The record is from RNAcentral.
AGCAGCCGCGGUAAUUCCAGCUCCAAUAGCGUAUAUUAAAGUUGUUGCAGUUAAAAGCUCGUAGUUGAAUUUCGGGAUCAAUAUGUCGGUCGUGCCAUCGGUACGUACUGGUAUCAUUGGUUUCUCCUUUCUGACGAACCAUGAUGUCAUUAAUUUGGUGUUGUGGGGAGUUAGGACUGUUACUUUGAAAAAUUAGAGUGUUUAAAGCAGGCUUUAGCUUGAAUACAUUAGCAUGGAAUAAUGAAAUAGGACGUUCGAACCUAUUUUGUUGGUUUCUAGGAUCAACGUAAUGAUUAAUAGGGAUAGUUGGGGGCAUUAGUAUUCAAUUGUCAGAGGUGAAAUUCUUGGAUUUAUUGAAGACUAACUACUGCGAAAGCAUUUGCCAAGGAUGUUUUCAUUAAUCAAGAACGAAAGUUAGGGGAUCGAAGACGAUCAGAUACCGUCGUAGUC